AGAUGUGAACACCAUCGGGUUGCAACAUCUGUCAUUGCAUUGAUCCACAUAGAGUUGCUCUGACUAAUCUGCCUGGCUAGACAUGUGUCCUCCUUCUACUGUGCCACUUCAUGUGUGAGCCACCAAGAACUGCUUGCUUGAUGAAAGGUCCUAUCUGUCUUUGGGUGUUGUCUGCAUAUCAUGUCAUAGUGCCUAGGUUUGAUACCCUGUGUGAGUUUCUGACUCUAGCUUCCUGCUAAUGCAGACUUGGAAGGCAACAAAUGAUAGCUUCAGUACUUGGGUUCUUGUUUGGGGAAGUGAACCAACAG
Molecule: small RNA, 308 nt
Filed under: Ochotona princeps (American pika)
Lineage: Eukaryota; Metazoa; Chordata; Mammalia; Lagomorpha; Ochotonidae
Description: 7SK RNA (ENSOPRG00000022293.1)
Rfam family: 7SK RNA (bases 1-189)
About the family: 7SK was discovered as an abundant small nuclear RNA in the mid-70s but a possible function has only recently been suggested. Two independent studies have found that 7SK RNA binds the CDK9/cyclin T complex (known as elongation factor P-TEFb).
Source: RNAcentral